Pseudophryne corroboree (corroboree frog) is the source of this 410-nucleotide long non-coding RNA. RefSeq lists it as uncharacterized. Lineage: Eukaryota; Metazoa; Chordata; Amphibia; Anura; Myobatrachidae. The record is from RefSeq and is a predicted model, not a curated record. The transcript has 3 exons.
GCUACUCUUGGCUCCUUACUCCAUUGUCCCAACCUGAUUCUCCUGCUGAACACAGUUACAAUCAUGCACAUAAGGCUACGCGGAAUGUGAUAGAAAGAUGUUUUGGUGUGCUGAAGUCACGGUUUCGGUGUCUGGAUAAAUCUGCUGGCCUUUUGUUGUAUAGUCCCUCAAAGAUAACUGAGGGGAUCGGGGCUCAUCACUCUGCGAACUCGCCAAUAGUGCCAGUGGUGGCUGGGGUGACACUGCCGAAAGUCGUCGCCUGGGUGGGGAUGAUGGAGCCGCAGAUUCCGAGCCAAGACGCCGUGUCUUACUUGGCCUCCUGGAAUAUGUGACUACACUGAAGUCUUACCUGCAAUCCCAGCCUCAUCCUGACUUGUCUGAGGCCUGUCUGGCCGGCUGGUCUGUGGGAC